AUUUAGGUCGGUGCAAAAGUGAUUGCGGUUUUUGCCAUUGAAAGUAAUGGCAAAAACCGCAAUCACUUUUGCACCAACCUAA
RNAcentral lists this microRNA precursor (82 nucleotides) under Aotus nancymaae (Ma's night monkey). RNAcentral describes it as "miRNA (ENSANAG00000007606.1)". It matches the Rfam family "mir-548 microRNA precursor family". The record is from RNAcentral. Lineage: Eukaryota; Metazoa; Chordata; Mammalia; Primates; Aotidae.